AGGGUAGAUGUGAACCUAACGGUAUGUGUGAAGCUUUGAUGACCACUUGAGGAGAACAAGUGUGGCCCAAUCUUGCGAAAGGUUCUGGUAACUAUCGAUUUGGUGGAAACGAGACACAAAUCAAUCCAGCUUGCGAACAACACGAUUCGAAACCCUGCAAUUCUUUUUAUUAUUUUUUUUGAUAUUUUUCUUUUACUUAGGAGCACUUAAGAAGUAACCACAGGAAAUUUGAGCUUAAACAAGUAAAAGACGUGGCCUGUGGAAAUUUUUGA
This 272-nucleotide long non-coding RNA is filed under the name Sorghum bicolor (sorghum). Its description in RNAcentral is "long non-coding RNA (SBIC_LNC010513)". Lineage: Eukaryota; Viridiplantae; Streptophyta; Magnoliopsida; Poales; Poaceae. The record is from RNAcentral.